ACGGUCUCCAGUACUGCAUACAAUACUCCUAGUGAGGUCUCACCAGUGUUCUGUACAAUGGCACGAGCACUUCCCUAUUUCUACUGCUAAUACCUCUUCCAUUGUAUUUUACAAAUGAGUUUGAACCCUUUUAUAGACUGUAACUUUUUUUUACCACCACUUAGCUUGUUUCUGUGGGUUUGCAUUAGCAUUUAACUACUGUACCAGGAUCUGUG
Molecule: non-coding RNA, 215 nt
Organism: Pelobates cultripes (western spadefoot toad)
Lineage: Eukaryota; Metazoa; Chordata; Amphibia; Anura; Pelobatidae
Source: the annotation of a GenBank genome assembly